UGGGGCCUAGGACCUUUGUGGUAGCAGAGUCACUGCAGAGAACCAGACAAUACCAGGUUGCUUAUAAAAGGAUGCCAUGUGCUUGCUGGAGGUCCCAGGUGCAACCAAAUUGCUUGCAGCUAGGAGGACCUUGAAGAGAAAUGGGAUCAGCCCGCCAAACCAAGAAGGGUUAGCACUUUUGCUAGGAGAGCUGACCACGCACAAACAGAUGAGAACCAAAACCGAGUGAAGAGGAUUGAAGAUGAACCCACAUUUUAAAAGUUCUUGUCUGCUGGAGGUGGCAUUACCUGUGACCUCGCUUCACUUCUCCAUACAUGGCUGUUAUAGCAGAAAAUCCAGCUUUCUGAAGCAUAUUUCACGACAUAUGAUGAGACUUAUGUGAUGUGAGACCUGAGAAAACUAUGAUAGAAAGAAGCAACUCAAGUUGCAAGGAUAUUCCUCAUGUAUCAUGCAAGGAUAUUCCUCAUAUAUCAUGCUUUUUCUAUCUUCUGCUCUUUGCCACCUGUGAGGUCCCUGAAAAUGAAGGCCAAUACUACCCAGAGACUAAGGUGUCAGUAUGUUCUUCAAGCUGCUCUGCUCCUGGGCCCAAGCUAUUCUCCUGCCUCAGCCUUCCAAGAAGCUGAAACUACAAGAACACAAGACUGUACCUGGCUUGCAAACACCAUUGCUAAUAAGAAGAUAUUGUAAGACUGAUACCUAAGAGAUAAGAGGUAACACACACACACACACAUGCAGGCACACACACACACACACACUCAAGUCACAAGAAGAAGCUGAAAAAUAUUUAAUGGCAUAGGAACAUGUGGAAAUAUAAAUUAUUCACUGUUAAACAGAGGACAAUUUUUAAAACUGUGUAACUAUCUUUUUUUUUUUUUUUUUUUUUUGAGACAGAG
Molecule: long non-coding RNA, 893 nt
Organism: Homo sapiens (human)
Lineage: Eukaryota; Metazoa; Chordata; Mammalia; Primates; Hominidae
Gene: FIRRE
Product: firre intergenic repeating RNA element
Source: Ensembl